Molecule: ribosomal RNA, 179 nt
Filed under: Fusobacterium mortiferum
Lineage: Bacteria; Fusobacteriati; Fusobacteriota; Fusobacteriia; Fusobacteriales; Fusobacteriaceae
Description: partial 16S ribosomal RNA
Rfam family: Bacterial small subunit ribosomal RNA
Source: RNAcentral
UUAAAUAGAUUGAACGAAGAGUUUGAUCCUGGCUCAGGAUGAACGCUGACAGAAUGCUUAACACAUGCAAGUCUACUUGAUCCUUCGGGUGAUGGUGGCGGACGGGUGAGUAACGCGUAAAGAACUUGCCCUGCAGUCUGGGACAACAUUUGGAAACGAAUGCUAAUACCGGAUAUUAU